AGGUGAACCUGCGGAGGGAUCAUUACCGAGUUAUACAACUCAUCAACCCUGUGAACAUACCUAAAACGUUGCUUCGGCGGGAACAGACGGCCCCGUAACACGGGCCGCCCCCGCCAGAGGACCCCCUAACUCUGUUUCUAUUAUGUUUCUUCUGAGUAAAACAAGCAAAUAAAUUAAAACUUUCAACAACGGAUCUCUUGGCUCUGGCAUCGAUGAAGAACGCAGCGAAAUGCGAUAAGUAAUGUGAAUUGCAGAAUUCAGUGAAUCAUCGAAUCUUUGAACGCACAUUGCGCCCGCCAGUAUUCUGGCGGGCAUGCCUGUUCGAGCGUCAUUACAACCCUCAGGCCCCCGGGCCUGGCGUUGGGGAUCGGCGAGGCGCCCCCUGCGGGCACACGCCGUCCCCCAAAUACAGUGGCGGUCCCGCCGCAGCUUCCAUUGCGUAGUAGCUAACACCUCGCAACUGGAGAGCGGCGCGGCCACGCCGUAAAACCCCCAACUUCUGAAUGUUGACCUCGAAUCAGGUAGGAAUACCCGCUGAACUUAAGCAUAUCAAUAA
This 556-nucleotide unclassified non-coding RNA is filed under the name Fusarium solani. RNAcentral describes it as "sequence contains ITS1, 5.8S rRNA gene, ITS2". The stretch from base 178 to 331 matches the Rfam family "5.8S ribosomal RNA". The record is from RNAcentral. Lineage: Eukaryota; Fungi; Ascomycota; Sordariomycetes; Hypocreales; Nectriaceae.